AUUGAACGCUGGCGGCAUGCUUUACACAUGCAAGUCGAACGGCAGCGCGGGCUUCGGCCUGGCGGCGAGUGGCGAACGGGUGAGUAAUACAUCGGAACGUGCCCAGUAGUGGGGGAUAGCUCGGCGAAAGCCGGAUUAAUACCGCAUACGACCUGAGGGUGAAAGCGGGGGAUCUUCGGACCUCGCGCUAUUGGAGCGGCCGAUGGCAGAUUAGCUAGUUGGUGGGGUAAAGGCCUACCAAGGCGACGAUCUGUAGCUGGUCUGAGAGGACGACCAGCCACACUGGGACUGAGACACGGCCCAGACUCCUACGGGAGGCAGCAGUGGGGAAUUUUGGACAAUGGGCGAAAGCCUGAUCCAGCAAUGCCGCGUGUGUGAUGAAGGCCUUCGGGUUGUAAAGCACUUUUGGCGGGAACGAAAAGGACUGUGCCAAUUCCACGGUUCGAUGACGGUACCCGCAGAAUAAGCACCGGCUAACUACGUG
This 484-nucleotide ribosomal RNA is filed under the name uncultured bacterium. Its description in RNAcentral is "partial 16S ribosomal RNA". It matches the Rfam family "Bacterial small subunit ribosomal RNA", at positions 29 to 507 of the family's 1533-position model. The record is from RNAcentral.